CAAGAAAAACACCAUUUUCAUCAAAUAAUAGUAAUAAUGAAGAAAUAGUCAAAAAAAAAUUCUGAAAAAAAUCUAAAAAAAUGUUUUUGGCAUUUGGGUACCUUUGUGAAAAGAGGAAGAGAUGAAGAUGAAUUGGAAGAAUCUUGAAUUAAUUCGUCGGUGGAAGAAGAGGUGGUGGUGAUUUCAUCUGGUUUAGAUUUGAGGUUUUUAAGAACAAAGAAACCGGCGAGAGUUGCGGAAAGAAAAAGAA
RNAcentral lists this long non-coding RNA (250 nucleotides) under Aquilegia coerulea. Its description in RNAcentral is "long non-coding RNA (ACOE_LNC000352)". The record is from RNAcentral. Lineage: Eukaryota; Viridiplantae; Streptophyta; Magnoliopsida; Ranunculales; Ranunculaceae.